RNAcentral lists this unclassified non-coding RNA (441 nucleotides) under uncultured Nostocaceae cyanobacterium. RNAcentral describes it as "partial contains 16S ribosomal RNA and 16S-23S ribosomal RNA intergenic spacer". The stretch from base 1 to 120 matches the Rfam family "Bacterial small subunit ribosomal RNA", at positions 1414 to 1533 of the family's 1533-position model. The record is from RNAcentral. Lineage: Bacteria; Bacillati; Cyanobacteriota; Cyanophyceae; Nostocales; Nostocaceae.
GUCACGCCCGAAGUCAUUACCCCAACCGUAAGGGGGGGGAUGCCUAAGGUAGGACUGAUGACUGGGGUGAAGUCGUAACAAGGUAGCCGUACCGGAAGGUGUGGCUGGAUCACCUCCUUUUAGGGAGACCUAAUCCAUUUAGAAAUCGAAAACAAUGAAAAUUGUCAAUAGAAACUAAAGUGGUCUAACCUAGGUCGUUCGAGAUUGGUAGAUAUCUUUCAAAGUAUUAUUCGGCUUCGUUCAAAACCAUAUAUAAAUGGAAAAAAGACAGCACCUAAUUAUCAAAGUUAGACUGCUGGAUGAAAUUCCAGCCAGAACCUUGAAAACUGCAUAAGAGAACGAGAAAAAGCAGGCAGACACAGACAUUUAGAUGGAUGUGGAAGCAAAGAAAUUGUGGUCAAGCUAAUAAGGGCUAAUGGUGGAUACCUAGGCACACAGAGG